This 731-nucleotide ribosomal RNA is filed under the name Acinetobacter sp. JA15-2. Its description in RNAcentral is "bacterial SSU rRNA". It matches the Rfam family "Bacterial small subunit ribosomal RNA", at positions 103 to 829 of the family's 1533-position model. The record is from RNAcentral. Lineage: Bacteria; Pseudomonadati; Pseudomonadota; Gammaproteobacteria; Moraxellales; Moraxellaceae.
CGGGUGAGUAAUGCUUAGGAAUCUGCCUAUUAGUGGGGGACAACAUUCCGAAAGGAAUGCUAAUACCGCAUACGCCCUACGGGGGAAAGCAGGGGAUCUUCGGACCUUGCGCUAAUAGAUGAGCCUAAGUCAGAUUAGCUAGUUGGUGGGGUAAAGGCCUACCAAGGCGACGAUCUGUAGCGGGUCUGAGAGGAUGAUCCGCCACACUGGGACUGAGACACGGCCCAGACUCCUACGGGAGGCAGCAGUGGGGAAUAUUGGACAAUGGGCGAAAGCCUGAUCCAGCCAUGCCGCGUGUGUGAAGAAGGCCUUUUGGUUGUAAAGCACUUUAAGCGAGGAGGAGGCUACCGAGAUUAAUACUCUUGGAUAGUGGACGUUACUCGCAGAAUAAGCACCGGCUAACUCUGUGCCAGCAGCCGCGGUAAUACAGAGGGUGCGAGCGUUAAUCGGAUUUACUGGGCGUAAAGCGUGCGUAGGCGGCUUUUUAAGUCGGAUGUGAAAUCCCUGAGCUUAACUUAGGAAUUGCAUUCGAUACUGGGAAGCUAGAGUAUGGGAGAGGAUGGUAGAAUUCCAGGUGUAGCGGUGAAAUGCGUAGAGAUCUGGAGGAAUACCGAUGGCGAAGGCAGCCAUCUGGCCUAAUACUGACGCUGAGGUACGAAAGCAUGGGGAGCAAACAGGAUUAGAUACCCUGGUAGUCCAUGCCGUAAACGAUGUCUACUAGCCGUUGGGGC